AUUGAACGCUAGCGGGAGGCCUUACACAUGCAAGUCGAACGGAGUGGCGAACGGGUGAGUAAUGUAUCGGAACGUGCCCAGUAGCGGGGGAUAACUACGCGAAAGCGUAGCUAAUACCGCAUACUAUUAGAGCGGCCGAUUUCGGAUUAGCUAGUUGGUGGGGGAACGGCUGCCCAAGGCGACGAUCCGUAGCUGGUUUGAGAGGACGACCAGCCACACUGGGACUGGGACACGGCCCAGACGCAUACGGUAGGCAGCAGUGGGGAAUUUUGGACAAUGGGCGAAAGCCUGAUCCAGCCAUCCCGGGUGUGCGAUGAAGGCCUUCGGGUUGUAAAGCACUUUAGGCUGGAAAGCGGUACCAGCAGAAUAAGCACCGGCUAACUACGUGCCAGCAGCCGCGGUAAUAC
This 407-nucleotide ribosomal RNA is filed under the name uncultured bacterium. RNAcentral's name for it is "partial 16S ribosomal RNA". It matches the Rfam family "Bacterial small subunit ribosomal RNA", at positions 30 to 526 of the family's 1533-position model. The record is from RNAcentral.